This 113-nucleotide ribosomal RNA is filed under the name uncultured eukaryote. Its description in RNAcentral is "partial small subunit ribosomal RNA". It matches the Rfam family "Eukaryotic small subunit ribosomal RNA", at positions 1675 to 1785 of the family's 1831-position model. The record is from RNAcentral.
GUCGCUACUACCGAUUGGGAAAAUUUUAGAGAGUCCGGGACUGAUGAUUGUUCGGCUUCACGGCCUUACUUUCGUCUGAAACGAAUUCGAUAAUAUUUUUCUAGAGGAAGUAA